GAUCCUGCCAGUAAUCAUAUGCUUGUCUUAAAGACUAAGCCAUGCAAGUCUAAGGAUAAACACUUUUAUCGUAAACCUGCAAACGGCUCAUUAAAUCAGUUUCAAUCUACUCUGUCAUAUAAUCCUACUUGGAUAACUGUAGUAAUUCUAGAGCUAAUACAUGCAAAAAACCCAGACGUAAGAAUGGGUGUAAGUAUUUGAUACCAAAACCAAUGUGGGCAUUCAACCUUGCUUAGUAAAAUUUGUAAGGGUCCACUGUAACUAUGACUAAAAAUACAAUUACGAAUCGCGAUUUAAUUCCGUGAUGACACGAACGAAAUUCUGCCCUAUCAACUUUCGAUGGUAAUGUAGGGGAUUACCAUGGUUUUAACGGGUAACGGAGAAUCUGGGUUUGAUUCCGGAGAAAAGGCCUGAGAGACGGCCAUUACUUCUAAGGAAGGCAGCAGGCGCGUAAAUUACCCAAUCCCAAUUCGGGGAGGUAGUGACGAGAAAUACUUGUAUUGGUCCCAACGGGAACAAUGAUAGGAAUGAGAACAACGUAAAAAACUUAACGACUAACAAUUGGAGGGCAAGUCUGGUGCCAGCAGCCGCGGUAAUUCCAGCUCCAAGAGUGUAUAUUAAAGUUGUUGCAGUUAAAAAGCUCGUAGUUGGAUUUCGGAUUCCACGUUUAGGUUGGUAAUUUUAUUAUCGAUCGACUUGUGGUGUUCUACUUUUGGUGGUAGUAAUAUCAUCGUUGGUGUAACUUGUAUUGGCUCGCUAGGGGUGAAAUCCUAUGAUUGAGUCAAGACAAACUACUGCGAAAGCAUUUUACAAAGAUGUUUUCAUUAAUCAAGAACGAAAGUUGGGGGAUCGAAGAUGAUCAGAUACCGUCGUAGUCUCAACUGUAAACGAUGUCGACUUAGGAUUAGGAAAUAUUACAUGGAUGAUUUUCCUAGCACUAUGUGAGAAAUCAAAGUAUUCAGACUCUGGGGGGAGUAUGGUCGCAAGGCUGAAACUUAAAGGAAUUGACGGAAGGGCACCACCAGGCGUGGAAUCUGCGGCUUAAUUUGACCCAACACGGGGAAACUUACCGGGUCCGGACUCUAUGAGGAUUGACAGAUUGAGAGCUCUUUCUUGAUUUAGAGGGUGGUGGUGCAUGGCCGUUUUUAGUUGGUGGAACGAUUUGUCUGGUUAAUUCCGAAAACGAACGAGACCUUAACCUAUUAAAUAUGUUAUCUGAUAUUGGUGUAAAAGCCAGGAUUAUUAGAGAAGUUAAACUUCUUAAAGGGACUCUUCACAUUUAAGUGAAUGGAAGAUUAAGGCGAAAACAGGUCUGUGAUGCCCUUCGAUGUUCCGGGCUGCACGCGCGUUACACUGUUAUGUUCAAUGAGUUUUUAAAUUCCUUGCUUUAAAAGGCUGGGCAAACUUACCAAAGCAUAACGUGAUUGGGAUUGUGCCUUGUAAUUAUUGCACAUGAACGAGGAAUGCCUAGUAGGGGUAGGUCAUCAACCUGCCCCGAUUACGUCCCCGCCCUUUGUACACACCGCCCGUCGCUUCUACCGAUUGAAUAAUGCGAUAAGGACUCAGGAUCGAGUUUAAAUUGUUAGCUGAAAGGUUAGCAGUUUUGAUUUGAGAAUUUGUUCAAAUCUUAUUAUUUAGAGGAAGGAGAAGUCGUAACAAGGUUUCCGU
RNAcentral lists this ribosomal RNA (1668 nucleotides) under uncultured soil eukaryote. RNAcentral describes it as "SSU rRNA". It matches the Rfam family "Eukaryotic small subunit ribosomal RNA". The record is from RNAcentral.